RNAcentral lists this ribosomal RNA (468 nucleotides) under uncultured bacterium. RNAcentral's name for it is "partial 16S ribosomal RNA". It matches the Rfam family "Bacterial small subunit ribosomal RNA", at positions 28 to 507 of the family's 1533-position model. The record is from RNAcentral.
GACGAACGCUGGCGGCGUGCUUAACACAUGCAAGUCGAACGGAAAGGCCCUGCUUUUGUGGGGUGCUCGAGUGGCGAACGGGUGAGUAACACGUGAGUAACCUGCCCUUGACUUUGGGAUAACUUCAGGAAACUGGGGCUAAUACCGGAUAGGAGCUCCUGCUGCAUGGUGGGGGUUGGAAAGUUUCGGCGGUUGGGGAUGGACUCGCGGCUUAUCAGCUUGUUGGUGGGGUAGUGGCUUACCAAGGCUUUGACGGGUAGCCGGCCUGAGAGGGUGACCGGCCACAUUGGGACUGAGAUACGGCCAAGACUCCUACGGGAGGCAGCAGUGGGGAAUAUUGCACAAUGGGCGGAAGCCUGAUGCAGCAACGCCGCGUGCGGGAUGACGGCCUUCGGGUUGUAAACCGAUUUCGCCUGUGACGAAGCGUGAGUGACGGUAAUGGGUAAAGAAGCACCGGCUAAAUACGUG